This is a small nucleolar RNA of Suricata suricatta (meerkat), 81 nucleotides long. Its record names the gene SNORD115. It matches the Rfam family "Small nucleolar RNA SNORD115". Rfam says of the family: HBII-52 is a member of the C/D class of snoRNAs, which contain the C (UGAUGA) and D (CUGA) box motifs. HBII-52 is encoded in a tandemly repeated array with another C/D snoRNA, HBII-85, in the Prader-Willi syndrome (PWS) region of chromosome 15. HBII-52 is exclusively expressed in the brain but is absent in PWS patients. The record is from Ensembl. NCBI's taxonomy places the organism in Eukaryota, Metazoa, Chordata, Mammalia, Carnivora, Herpestidae.
GGGUCAAUGAUGAGAACUCAUGUGGUCUCAAAGAGGAAUGAUGACCUAAAUAUUAUGCUCAAUAGGAAUAUGCUGAGUCCC